UACGAAGGGGGCUAGCGUUGCUCGGAAUCACUGGGCGUAAAGGGUGCGUAGGCGGGGCUUUAAGUCAGGGGUGAAAUCCUGGAGCUCAACUCCAGAACUGCCUUUGAUACUGAGGAUCUUGAGUACGGGAGAGGUGAGUGGAACUGCGAGUGUAGAGGUGAAAUUCGUAGAUAUUCGCAAGAACACCAGUGGCGAAGGCGGCUCACUGGCCCGUAACUGACGCUGAGGCACGAAAGCAUGGGGAGCGAACAGG
This 253-nucleotide ribosomal RNA is filed under the name uncultured bacterium. Its description in RNAcentral is "partial 16S ribosomal RNA". It matches the Rfam family "Bacterial small subunit ribosomal RNA", at positions 524 to 776 of the family's 1533-position model. The record is from RNAcentral.